This 1284-nucleotide long non-coding RNA is filed under the name Sus scrofa (pig). RNAcentral's name for it is "lncRNA (ENSSSCG00030065741.1)". Lineage: Eukaryota; Metazoa; Chordata; Mammalia; Artiodactyla; Suidae. The record is from RNAcentral.
CUUUUUCUUUUUUUUUUGGUCUUUUUGUCUUUUUAGGGCUGUACCCGCAGCAUAUGGAGGUUCCCAGGCUAGGGGUCAAAUUGGAACUAUAGCCCUGGCCUAUGCCACAGCCACAGCAAUGCUGGAUCAGAGCUGUGUCUGUGACUUACACCAUAGCUCACGGCAACACUGGAUCCUUAACCCACUGAGCAAGGCCAGGGAUUGAACCCGAAUACUCAUGGUUGCUGGUUGGGUUCGUUAACCACUGAGCCAUGAUGAGAACUCUGCUCCUUUCUUUCAGUGGAGGCAGCUCACGGGACAAAAGAAUGAGGCCCCAUUGCAGGUGAAGGUGGCUUCUAAGGGGCUUGACUCCUCUACAUUGCCCUCAUGCCAGCUGGGAGCUCAGGGGCUGCAUUAAGCAACAAGGAAGAACCAUGGAUGGCCAGUCUACCAGGGGAGGGCUCCUGAGAAGGUAAAUCUUUGAGUUCACACAGAAAACUCCAAGCAGAAUGAUUUGGGUUUUUCAAAAGGAAGCCAGACAAAGAGCUUAGAUGUGGACCCAGAGAUCACAAGCAAAUAGGAAAUUUGCAUCCAGUUCUGAGGAAACCUAGUAGUUGGACUUAAAUGAUAUUUAGUACUUUAACCCACUCCCAUUGCUCAACACAUAGGUUCUUCCAACUUCCCUUCGGCCUCUCAUUUUCCAACAUGCAACAAAAGAACAUGACCUUCUCAGAGGUGGUGCCAUCCCUUAGCUCUUUCCAGCUAAGUCCCCACCCCAGCCCGUAUCUCAACUGAACAGGUAUCCAGAGCAUGCAUGUCACCUCUGCUUCCCCUGUUCCCCUUCCUUGCUCCUUGGGGAUGCUACUUGUAUACUUUCUCAUCCAUGUGCUUCUUGAGCCUCUGGAGCUACUUAAAUAAACUCAUCCAUGCCCAUGAACAUGGACUAGGCCACGGGGCCUCUCUUUGUUGGUCUUCCUGGGACAAUGACCCCUCUGUUGUGAGACAAGAGCAGAGACUCUGAGUAGAGUGCAGGGUCUCUGAGAGGAAAGAACAGUAGUUGUAGAUGUGGUGCGGGUGAGCUCCAGUUACCCUUCAGCUCUCAGUUUUGUUGCUGCUCACAUCCAAUUAAACUGGACUUGGCAUGGCCUCAGCUUAGAUAGCAGGUGUUUUUGUGCCUACCACAAUCACAGUACUUCUGGCAGGUGGACCAAUGAUUUAAAAAAGGCACCCACUCAGGCAGCCCAGUUGGAAAAUGCACCCCUUCUAGAGCUGGCUCUGUUCUGCCCACCUGCUUGGCUUGCAGAA